CACUAAUACCUUAUAAUGACUUCGGUCCAAAGAUUUAUCGCUUAAGGAUUAGCCCGCGUCUGAUUAGAUUGUUGGUGAGGUAAUGGCUCACCAAGUCUACGAUCAGUAGGGGGUCUGAGAGGAUGAUCCCCCACACUGGGACUAAGACACGGCCCAGACUCCUACGGGAGGCAGCAGUGAGGAAUAUUGCACAAUGGAGGAAACUCUGAUGCAGCCAUGCCGCGUGAGUGAAGAAGGCCUUAGGGUUGUAAAGCUCUUUCAAUAGUGAAGAUAAUGACGGUAGCUAUAGAAGAAGCCCCGGCUAAAUUCGUGCCAGCAGCCGCGGUAAUACGAAUGGGGCAAGCGUUGUUCGGAAUCACUGGGCUUAAAGCGUGCGCAGGCGGAUAUGAAAGUCAGAAGUGAAAUCCCGGGGCUCAACCCCGGAACUGCUUUUGAAACUCCAUAUCUAGAAUCCGGUAGAGGUCAGGGGAAUUCCUAGUGUAGAGGUGAAAUUCGCAGAUAUUAGGAGGAACACCAGUGGCGUAGGCGCCUGACUGGACCGGUAUUGACGCUCAUGUACGGAAGCGUGGGGAGCAAACAGGAUUAGAUACCCUGGUAGUCCACGCCGUAAACGAUGUAUGCUAGUUGUUGGGAUCUUAAGGUCUCAGUGACGCAGAGAAAUCACUAAGCAUACCGCCUGGGGAGUACGGCCGCAAGGU
RNAcentral lists this ribosomal RNA (698 nucleotides) under uncultured bacterium. Its description in RNAcentral is "bacterial SSU rRNA". It matches the Rfam family "Bacterial small subunit ribosomal RNA", at positions 161 to 894 of the family's 1533-position model. The record is from RNAcentral.